This 442-nucleotide long non-coding RNA is filed under the name Cricetulus griseus (Chinese hamster). RNAcentral describes it as "lncRNA (ENSCGRG00015040777.1)". Lineage: Eukaryota; Metazoa; Chordata; Mammalia; Rodentia; Cricetidae. The record is from RNAcentral.
GCUCAGACCUGUUUCUAGAAUCUUACCAGUUCAUUGGAUUGGUACAUGAACCAACAACAGGUAUGUGAGUCCCUGAAAGCAGAGAGCAGUUCUUUGCAUGCUGUGAGCAUUCACGGAUGAUGCAGCCACACCAUGCCUCUGACAUGCAUAAUUCAAGUGGAGCAGAUACAGGCCUGUGGUUCCAGUACCACCGCUUGAGGAUUCUGUAAACGAUUUAUCAGCAGGUUGCAGCUGAACAUGGACAUGAGGUAAACCCUGCCCCUGGUUAAAAUUUAGUUUAAUCAACUUCUGCAUGGAAUUGUAAGGACAUGGACUAUAUCACAGAAUCCAGCAGGUUCCCUCCCCCUUUCUUUAGAUUUAUCUUUUCUUCUUUAAGAAGAUAACAUGCUUAAACAAAGUUUCUUUAUGGUUAGCAACUGUGAUUCUUGAAGUUGGGCAACCC